Long non-coding RNA from Uloborus diversus, 770 nucleotides. RefSeq lists it as uncharacterized. The record is from RefSeq and is a predicted model, not a curated record. NCBI's taxonomy places the organism in Eukaryota, Metazoa, Arthropoda, Arachnida, Araneae, Uloboridae. The transcript has 5 exons.
UGUUUACGUGUUUUCCUUUCCCAGGAAAGAUGAAAAAUAUUGCUCUUAAGUUAUUUUGCUGCUUCGAUGUUGUUGCAACAAUGCAAAAUGUUUUACUCAGAACCGUUUUGUUAAUAUAUUAUAUUUUGAAAUAUAUUGAUUUCGUGUGACAACGUUAAGUAUUUCAACCACCCGUAAGAAGUCCUGCGGAUCCGUGAACCUAGGCACCAAAAUGGGAUUUAUAGGCAACAACCUUUUCAAUGCAAAUAAAAAUGAGCAUCUUGAUGAAAGACAUUAGCUUUUGUUCUUUAUAACUGAGAAACAUCUAUGGAUGAAGAAUAGGUUAAUGAAGUGAGCAAAUUUUUUGAAGCAUUCUUUGUCUAUGUCGAUCCUUUGUCAUGAGCUUAAGGAAUGCCUACUAAUAAGAUCAUGUAAAUCAGGCUGUACAAAAGAAAACCUAGAAAGUACAAGCGUGAGUGAAAAUAAAUUUCCCCUGGCUACUAUGAACAAGCUGGGCAGAGCAGCAGCACAGACCCUGGUGACAACUGUAUUGUAAAUGCAUGAGGUGCUCUAACUUGUGGCAUAGAAAUGUAUUUGAAAUAUUGUACUUUGUUUAUAUACAUUUUGUGUAUAUUAAUUUGCUAAAACAUUCUCCCUACUAUAGUGUCAAUUUUGCCUAACAAUAAAACAAUCAAAUCAGAUUAGUUCUUAUUCAUAGAAAAUAUAUGUAUAUCUUAAGUCUUAUACUUGUAUGUAUAGUUUUCCACAACAGUUUCUUAAACUUUGUAACA